This 253-nucleotide ribosomal RNA is filed under the name uncultured bacterium. Its description in RNAcentral is "partial 16S ribosomal RNA". It matches the Rfam family "Bacterial small subunit ribosomal RNA", at positions 524 to 776 of the family's 1533-position model. The record is from RNAcentral.
UACGUAGGGUCCGAGCGUUGUCCGGAAUUAUUGGGCGUAAAGGGCUCGUAGGCGGUCUGUUGCGUCGGGAGUGAAAACUUACAGCUUAACUGUGAGCGUGCUUCCGAUACGGGCAGACUUGAGGUAUUCAGGGGAGAACGGAAUUCCUGGUGUAGCGGUGAAAUGCGCAGAUAUCAGGAGGAACACCGGUGGCGAAGGCGGGUCUCUGGGCCGAUACUGACGCUGAGGAGCGAAAGCGUGGGGAGCGAACAGG